Molecule: ribosomal RNA, 253 nt
Filed under: uncultured bacterium
Lineage: Bacteria
Description: partial 16S ribosomal RNA
Rfam family: Bacterial small subunit ribosomal RNA
Source: RNAcentral
UACGUAGGGGCCAAGCGUUGUCCGGAAUUAUUGGGCGUAAAGAGCUCGUAGGCGGUCUGUCGCGUCGGCUGUGAAAACUCGGGGCUCAACUCCGAGCUUGCAGUCGAUACGGGCAGGCUAGAGUUCGGCAGGGGAGACUGGAAUUCCUGGUGUAGCGGUGAAAUGCGCAGAUAUCAGGAGGAACACCGGUGGCGAAGGCGGGUCUCUGGGCCGAUACUGACGCUGAGGAGCGAAAGCGUGGGGAGCGAACAGG